RNAcentral lists this ribosomal RNA (253 nucleotides) under uncultured bacterium. Its description in RNAcentral is "partial 16S ribosomal RNA". It matches the Rfam family "Bacterial small subunit ribosomal RNA", at positions 524 to 776 of the family's 1533-position model. The record is from RNAcentral.
UACGGGGGGGGCAAGCGUUGUUCGGAAUUACUGGGCGUAAAGGGCUCGUAGGCGGCCAACUAAGUCAUACGUGAAAUCCCUCGGCUUAACCGGGGAACUGCGUCUGAUACUGGAUGGCUUGAGUUCGGGAGAGGGAUGCGGAAUUCCUGGUGUAGCGGUGAAAUGCGCAGAUAUCAGGAGGAACACCGGUGGCGAAGGCGGUGGUCUGGGCCGGCACUGACGCUGAGGAGCGAAAGCGUGGGUAGCAAACAGG